AAGAUACUGUACUUACUGUACUCUAUCUACUGUAUUUUCGUGAGCCUCUGUAUAGAAUAAAUAGUAUUGUGUCUGCAGGUGUGUACAACUGAAAGAGAAUGCAACUAUCAACUCGUACGUUGACUUGUGUAACAUCAACUGUGAUCUGGUUCCUCGCGUGUUGUCGACUGAUUAUUUAACGACUUAACGGGUUAACAGCGAGCCAGAAACGGGGCUCGAUUCGCCUUCUGCCUGAAGUUGCUCGUUGGAGCAGCGAACAAAGGAUCGUAAGCGAGGGUUGUUUUCUGGCGAAGAAAACGAUGGCGCGACGAGAACGAAAAUACGAGACAACGAAGAACGCCACGUGGGAACCGGAUAGAGGCACGUGCCUCGGGUUUCGACAACUCCUGGCGAGCGGCGGACUAUUUCCGCGUGACGAGGAAAUUGUUCUCCAGCCGUCCUGACGCCGCGGGAGGCGACUCGCAGAGGAUUCGUCGCGCCCUCGCAGCGGGUGAUGGACCUCGCGUGGUCUUACGCUCGUCUUUUCGGACUACGAUUGACUACGAAAUCUAAAGCGACUCGGAAAUUCACCCAGAGAUGAUAAUCUCCGCGAGUCACCGAGAAAGAUGAUCCACUGCCGAUCAUGACUGCGGAGAAUUUGGAUCUAAGAGGAGUUUCAGUUUUUAGGCUUGAAAGAGGAUCGAUGAAGAAUGGAAUUUUGGUUUUUCUAUUGAUUUACUUACUUUAAACUAAGAAUGUUUAUGGAAAUUUAGUGUACCAAAUGCACGUAAUAUGCAAAAAUAGUAUAGGCACACAUAGUUAUUUAUUAAUUGAAGCGUUUUAUUCUAUAUACGGAUAAUCAGAUUCUAUAU
This 851-nucleotide unclassified non-coding RNA is filed under the name Bombus terrestris (buff-tailed bumblebee). RNAcentral describes it as "misc RNA ENSBTSG00005024841.1". Lineage: Eukaryota; Metazoa; Arthropoda; Insecta; Hymenoptera; Apidae. The record is from RNAcentral.